CCUACGGGGGGCUGCAGUGAGGAAUAUUGGUCAAUGGGCGAGAGCCUGAACCAGCCAAGUCGCGUGAGGGAGUACUGCCCUAUGGGUUGUAAACCUCUUUUGUCGGGGAGCAAAAGCCGGACGUGUCCGGCUGUGAGAGUACCCGAAGAAAAAGCAUCGGCUAACUCCGUGCCAGCAGCCGCGGUAAUACGGAGGAUGCGAGCGUUAUCCGGAUUUAUUGGGGUUAAAGGGUGCGCAGGCGGAUUUUUAAGUCAGCGGUCAAAUCGUGGGGCUCAACCCCAUCCAGCCGUUGAAACUGGGGAUCUAGAGUGUGCGAGAGGUAUGCGGAAUGCGUGGUGUAGCGGUGAAAUGCAUAGAUAUCACGCAGAACCCCGAUUGCGAAGGCAGCAUACCGGUGCACAACUGACGCUCAGGCUCGAAAGUGUGGGUAUCAAACAGGAUUAGAUACCCGAGUAGUC
RNAcentral lists this ribosomal RNA (458 nucleotides) under uncultured bacterium. Its description in RNAcentral is "partial 16S ribosomal RNA". It matches the Rfam family "Bacterial small subunit ribosomal RNA", at positions 338 to 795 of the family's 1533-position model. The record is from RNAcentral.